Molecule: ribosomal RNA, 328 nt
Filed under: uncultured bacterium
Lineage: Bacteria
Description: bacterial SSU rRNA
Rfam family: Bacterial small subunit ribosomal RNA
Source: RNAcentral
AGAGUUUGAUCAUGGCUCAGGAUGAACGCUAGCGGCAGGCUUAACACAUGCAAGUCGAGGGGUAACAGGUUCCUUCGGGAAUGCUGACGACCGGCGCACGGGUGAGUAACGCGUGGAUAAUCUACCCAUGGAUUGGGGAUAACCCUGCGAAAGCGGGGCUAAUACCUGAUAGUCUGGUCAUUAUAUAGAUGAUCGGUAAAGGUGGCCUCUGAUACAAGCUACUGUCCGUGGAUGAGUCCGCGUCUCAUUAGCUGGUUGGUGGGGUAAUGGCCUACCAAGGCGACGAUGAUUAGCUGGUCUGAUAGGAUGAUCAGCCACACUGGGACUG